Molecule: ribosomal RNA, 460 nt
Filed under: uncultured bacterium
Lineage: Bacteria
Description: partial 16S ribosomal RNA
Rfam family: Bacterial small subunit ribosomal RNA
Source: RNAcentral
CCUACGGGUGGCAGCAGUGAGGAAUAUUGGUCAAUGGACGAGAGUCUGAACCAGCAAAGUAGCGUGAAGGAUGACUGCCCUAUGGGUUGUAAACUUCUUUUAUAUGGGACUAAAAUGUUCAACGUGUGGGAUUUUGUAUGUACCAUAUGAAUAAGGAUCGGCUAACUCCGUGCCAGCAGCCGCGGUAAUACGGAGGAUCCGAGCGUUAUCCGGAUUUAUUGGGUUUAAAGGGAGCGUAGGUGGAUUGUUAAGUCAGUUGUGAAAGUUUGCGGCUCAACCGUAAAAUUGCAGUUGAAACUGGCAGUCUUGAGUACAGUAGAGGUGGGCGGAAUUCGUGGUGUAGCGGUGAAAUGCUUAGAUAUCACGAAGAACUCCGAUUGCGAAGGCAGUUCACUGGACUGCAACUGACACUGAGGCUCGAAAGUGUGGGUAUCAAACAGGAUUAGAUACCCUAGUAGUC